RNAcentral lists this small RNA (451 nucleotides) under Pongo abelii (Sumatran orangutan). Its description in RNAcentral is "retained intron". The record is from RNAcentral. Lineage: Eukaryota; Metazoa; Chordata; Mammalia; Primates; Hominidae.
GGGAUUUUUCUUCGACUUGAUCCUUAGAGGUGCAACAGAUUCAUGGAGAUGGUCCCUUCUCCUGGGGAUGGGGCAAGGAUCUGUGCUCCGUGGGGCCUGCUGCAGGGCUUUCUGACCCAUGCCUUCCUGUUGCUAGGGUAGGCCUUGGGCCUUAGGGAGGGGCAUCAUCAACCUCAGGAUCUCAGUCUUGCCUUCCUGCCCACCCCAGCCCCAAACAAGUGUGAACUGAACUGCAUUCCCAAGGGGGAGAACUUCUACUACAAGCACAGGGAGGCUGUGGUUGAUGGGACGCCCUGCGAGCCUGGCAAGAGGGACGUCUGUGUGGAUGGCAGCUGCCGGGUUGUCGGCUGUGAUCACGAGCUGGACUCGUCCAAGCAGGAGGACAAGUGUCUGCGGUGUGGGGGUGACGGCACGACCUGCUACCCUGUCACAGGCACCUUUGACGCUAAUG